GACGAACGCUGGCGGCGUGCUUAACACAUGCAAGUCGAACGGAAAGGCCCUGCUUUUGUGGGGUGCUCGAGUGGCGAACGGGUGAGUAACACGUGAGUAACCUGCCCUUGACUUUGGGAUAACUUCAGGAAACUGGGGCUAAUACCGGAUAGGAGCUCCUGCUGCAUGGUGGGGGUUGGAAAGUUUCGGCGGUUGGGGAUGGACUCGCGGCUUAUCAGCUUGUUGGUGGGGUAGUGGCUUACCAAGGCUUUGACGGGUAGCCGGCCUGAGAGGGUGACCGGCCAAAUUGGGAAUGAGAUAAGGCCCAGAAUCCUAAGGGAGGCAGGAGGGGGGAAUAUUGCACAAUGGGCGGAAGCCUGAAGCAGCAACGCCGCGUGCGGGAUGAAGGCCUUUGGGGUGUAAACCGAUUUCGCCUGGGAAGAAGCGUGAGUGAAGGUAAUGGGUAAAGAAGCACCGGCUAACUACGUG
Molecule: ribosomal RNA, 468 nt
Filed under: uncultured bacterium
Lineage: Bacteria
Description: partial 16S ribosomal RNA
Rfam family: Bacterial small subunit ribosomal RNA
Source: RNAcentral